UAGGGAAUCUUCCGCAAUGGGCGAAAGCCUGACGGAGCAACGCCGCGUGAGUGAAGAAGGUCUUCGGAUCGUAAAACUCUGUUAUUAGGGAAGAACAAAUGUGUAAGUAACUAUGCACGUCUUGACGGUACCUAAUCAGAAAGCCACGGCUAACUACGUGCCAGCAGCCGCGGUAAUACGUAGGUGGCAAGCGUUAUCCGGAAUUAUUGGGCGUAAAGCGCGCGUAGGCGGUUUUUUAAGUCUGAUGUGAAAGCCCACGGCUCAACCGUGGAGGGUCAUUGGAAACUGGAAAACUUGAGUGCAGAAGAGGAAAGUGGAAUUCCAUGUGUAGCGGUGAAAUGCGCAGAGAUAUGGAGGAACACCAGUGGCGAAGGCGACUUUCUGGUCUGUAACUGACGCUGAUGUACGAAAGCGUGGGGAUCAAACAGGAUUAGAUACCCUGGUAGUCCACGCCGUAAACGAUGAGUGCUAAGUGUUAGGGGGUUUCCGCCCCUUAGUGCUGCAGCUAACGCAUUAAGCACUCCGCCUGGGGAGUACGACCGCAAGGUUG
Molecule: ribosomal RNA, 550 nt
Filed under: uncultured bacterium
Lineage: Bacteria
Description: bacterial SSU rRNA
Rfam family: Bacterial small subunit ribosomal RNA
Source: RNAcentral